AUUUUCUGCCACCGAAUACAUUAGCAUGGGAUAAUGGAAUAGGACCCUGUCCUCCUAUUUUCAGUUGGUUUUGGCAGCGCGAGGACUAGGGUAAUGAUUAAUAGGGAUAGUUGGGGGCAUUAAUAUUUAAUUGUCAGAGGUGAAAUUCUUGGAUUUAUGAAAGAUUAACUUCUGCGAAAGCAUCUGCCAAGGAUGUUUUCAUUAAUCAAGAACGAAAGUUAGGGGAUCGAAGACGAUCAGAUACCGUCGUAGUCUUAACCAUAAACGAUGCCGACCAGCGAUUAGGAGACGUUGAAUACAAAACACCACCAUCGGCGCGGUCGUCCUUGGCGUUCGUGUUCACGCACGAGCGCGAGGGCGGUUUAGCCCGGUGGCACCGGUGAAUGACUCCCCUAGCAGCUUGUGAGAA
This 409-nucleotide ribosomal RNA is filed under the name Acanthamoeba genotype T4. Its description in RNAcentral is "SSU rRNA". It matches the Rfam family "Eukaryotic small subunit ribosomal RNA", at positions 784 to 1096 of the family's 1831-position model. The record is from RNAcentral. Lineage: Eukaryota; Discosea; Longamoebia; Acanthamoebidae.